Molecule: small nuclear RNA, 100 nt
Filed under: Jaculus jaculus (lesser Egyptian jerboa)
Lineage: Eukaryota; Metazoa; Chordata; Mammalia; Rodentia; Dipodidae
Source: RNAcentral
CCGCUGUGGCAGUGUGUGCACUGAAAUUGGAACAUUGCCGAGAUUAACAUGGCCCCUGCACAAGGAUGAUACGCAAAUGUGUGAAGCAUUCUAUAUUUUA